This 3777-nucleotide long non-coding RNA is filed under the name Gallus gallus (chicken). RNAcentral describes it as "lncRNA (ENSGALG00010014462.1)". Lineage: Eukaryota; Metazoa; Chordata; Aves; Galliformes; Phasianidae. The record is from RNAcentral.
AUGUCACUGCAAAGCCAUUCUCUGUCACUGGUCACAGUGGAAGUUCCUAAUGACAGAAAAAAAGGCAAAUGUCACAGCUAUAUCCUCAGGAAGGGCAAGAAGGAAGACUGGGAAACUAGAGGCUGAUCAACAACACCAUUGGUCCAUGAGAAGGUGAUAGAACAAAUCCUCUUACAAGCCAUUUCCAAGCACAGGAAGGAUGAGAAGUUGAUUGGCAACAUGAAUUUACUGAGGACAAAAUCUACCCUUACACCUUGAAUGCAUUCUAUGAUGUUAUGACUGUCUGUGUGGAUGAAGAGUGAGAAGUGGACAUUGUGUUCCUAGACUUAACAUCACUUCAAGGUUUUACACCUGAAACGGGUUCAUUUUCACUUGUCUGAUGCACAUUUCCAGCCAGCAGCCGGGAGACCGAAGAGGAUUCAAUCCGCAAUUGUUCUGAAAGCACACAAACUGAAUAAAUGUUUAUAACCCUAAAUGGUGUCACCGCAGCAGAUGAAUGGCAGCAGAACAAUGGGCACCGAUGCACUCUUCAGGCCGCAGCCAAGUUCCCUAGCAACUACAGAGGAGCUGUGCAGCCUGCAGAGGUACUGUGAGUGCCAGCAGGCCGUUAUCUGAGAAAUGACUGAGAAAUGAUCUUAGUGCCGUAUUUCAUUGAGGAGAUACCAUUAAUCAAUUGCCUGUUUGUAAUUCACGGAUACCACUUUUUCCCUUUGGGUAAACUAUUAGGUAAGAAUUCCUCUGGCUAGCGAUUUCAUUGUUAUUUAGUUUCAUGUAUGUGUUAGCAUUAAUUACAUAGGUUUAAAGUUGUUUGAGUUCCAAGGAAAUAGCACCAGGUAGCUGCUAUGCUGUAAGAAAAGCACACCGAGCUGAAGUUUGACACUAAGCUAAACUGAUGUAAUGGCUGCUAAAAGCUUGAGUGCCAAUUGCUUCCUUGGUUUAGAACUGUGUUUUGAAACACGUAGAUAGGUACAAGGCAAAAGGGAAAAAGAAAAGCAAUGGCUUUAUCGAAGAGAUAUUGUUAUUUAUUAAAUCAGUUAAUCAUACGUUGCCAGCCUAAUUAAUAAUUGCUGGUGCAAGGAAUGCCACAGAUUAGGCUACACUGAUACCAUGUGCUCCAAACAGAUGAUAGAAAGUUGUACUCUGACCUUCCCAUGUGUCUGACCGCAACAGAGAACAGGUCACCCCAUCUUCUAUAACACUGCGCUCUCUGCUGCUCUGUUACUCAUUGUGUCAGGGGAGGGGCAGCUGGGGGUUAGGGACAGGGUCUGCACCAGAGGGGGGUGGGCAUGGAACGGGCUGCCCAGGGCUGUGGGCACUGCCCCCAUUGCUGGAGUUCAGAGAGCAUCUGGACAGUGCUCUCAGAUGUAGGGUCUGAUUUUGGGUGGUGCUGUGUGGAGAAUGGAGUUGGACUCGAUGAUCCUUGUGGGUCCUGUCCAGCUUGGGAUAUUCUGUGCUUCUAUAAUUCCACGAUUCUAUGAACCUAGGUGAGUUUCUUUACCAUUUUGUACAAUGAAGUCUUUCCUGCCCAACACUUCAUGUUUUUUGUAGGGGAUUGUGAAUUGUUCUUUACACACAUCUGGAAGUAGAUCGCCAACAUGUAGCUUUACUUCUACCCUGACAAACACUGCUUUCAGUCCGAUUUGACUGUCCGAUUUGACUUUUCCGUUGACCCCCUGCCUCCCUUCUCCAGGUGAGCUCACAACCUAUUUGUUAGAUUUAUCAUAUGCUACAGACUGGCAUCUACCUCUGUACUGAGGCAAGAAUUGUUAUCUUUGUAAUUUUUACCUUUGUCACAAAUAAAGGAAUUACCAUUUUACGGUAGGCCUAAGGAUUUGUGGCCACUGAUCUGGGAGAAGUAAUGGAGAGGGGCUAGAGACUCAGAUAGAAGAGUGAUGGAUGCACAAAGUAACACUAAAUACCAAAUCAAUCCCAUUUGAAAGUUCAGGAUUAAAAAGAAGUGUGAGAUUCUUGGCCUACAGCAUCAUGUUGCCUUUGGUAGAGAAGUUUUGCUUCAGAAACUAUUUUCCUGUCCUUGGUUGCCCUCUUCCUGGCCACAGAGCUUACUGCUUCCUCUGUAGAAAUGGCCCUGCUGUAAGCCAGACCUCUGAAAUGAUUUGGCAUAAAUCCCUCACUUUUUUUUUUUUUUUUUUGGUCAGUUUUUUCUUUCUUUCUUUCUUUCUUUUUAUUUCCAGUCUAGAUCAUUUUAUAAUGCAAACAUGAUACGUAAGUACUGGGAGGAUAAGCAGUGAAUGUGGCACUGGGAACCAACAUGUUUCCUAACACUGCCCUCAUCUGACUAAAAUCUGAUUAGUCUUAAACUGUGGAGUGCUCUUUGCCUCAGAAUUAAACAACCUGUGUCCCACGUAUUCCUAUUCCACAGGUAUUGCAAAGUGAGUAGGAGAAGAUGAGGAAUUGAACGUUAAGAGACGUGAAACAUCAGAGAUGGUAGAGUUAGGUAGAGGGACUAGUCUUUUUUUUUUCUGAAGGUGAGGAGAAUGUUCAAGGGGAAUAAAGUUAUGUGUAAGGCGGCUGUGUGGAGGAGGAUCGGGUGAAUUAAAAGGGAGACAUGUUUCAGGGUAUAGGAACUGUACAUGUAAAAGGAUGACUGUGAAGCAGGGUAGAGAAAAAAGAAGGCUACAAGAAACUUUAAUGACUUCAUGUUGAGCAAGUCUAGAACAGAGGAAUUAAGUCAUUACGCAUAGCAAGGCUUCUCAAACAAGAGGGCUGUUUGGCCUAUCAGUACUGGAAGAUUACAGAUCUUACAGACUUUAUCAAGCAAAAGUGACCCCAUACUUUAUCUAGACAAAAAAAUCAACGAAAGUCAGUAAGGUUUUAUUGACCAGUGUAGUUAUUUGCGGUCUGUUACUUUGGGAUGUCACCUUCAUUGUCUAUCAUUUUGGACAGUGUUUCAGCACAGCUGGAAGAAUUCAACUCUUCAACUUCAGAAGGUUUGCUUGGAAGCAGGGAAGCAGUGGGCAAUGCCACAUCACACCAGUCACUUGCCACAGAAACCUCCUAACUGCUGUCUUCUGUAUCUGCACAAGCUGUCAUGCUUAUUGUUGCACCAGGAGAGAUCUUGCACAGCAGCAGUGGAGCUGGGGGAAGGCUGUAUCUCCCCAGGCUAAUCUGGUUAACCAUGAAAGCUGUCAGGACUUGUUCACCCGCAGCAAAAGACUCAUCCUGGUCACUAUAAAAGAACAAAACUGCCAUGCAGCAAGAGCUCCCCACUCAAGCUUGUGGCUCACCCUAAAAUGCAGCUGAAAGCACUCUCUCGUGCAGAGCCCAACCCCUAAAUCUCCAUCACAUGGGAAAGUUCCCCACAGCUGUGACUGUUACAGGCUUCCCUGUUGCUUCACGUGUCCUUUCCAACACUUGCUGAACCAUCAUAAGCUGUUGUUUCAGAUCACACGCACACAUGGCUUUACAAAAGGCAAAGCAUCUCUUUAAACAAUAAGCUUUUCAUAGAACCAUAGAAACAUAGAAUGGCUUGCGUUAGAAGAGACUUCAAAGGUCAUCUGAUUCCAACCCACCAGCUCAGGCUGCCCAGGGCCCAUUCCAACCUGGCCUUGAGCACCUCCAGGGAUGGGGCACCACAGCUUCUCUGGGCAGCUGUGCCAGCGCUUCACUGCCCUCUGAGUAAAAAGUUUCCCCCUAAUAUCCCACCUAAAUCUCCCCUCUUUUAGUUUAAAGCCAUUCCUGCUUGUCCUAUCACUAUAAGACCAUGUAAAAAAUUGGUCUCCCUUCUGCUAAUAAACUUCUUCUAAGCACGGCAAGGCC